GGGCUCGAGGAGGCUGUUCAAGCCACAAAGACCCCCUGGAGCUGGCCUCAGCGUGCCAGGGUGCUUCUACUGGAGGGGUGUCGUGGGGGUCGCAGGAAGACAGCUGCGGAGGAAGACAGUCUGCAGCUCUGGGGGCUGAGGGUCAUCGUGGGAGCAGGAACUUCAUACUGGUCCCUUGAAGAUGACCCUGUUCAAAUCCUUGGAGUCUGUCAUCUUGUGUAGCAGAGAGGACUUUACAGAUUUAACCUUCUCACUGCUGGGACAAAAACAUCC
This is a long non-coding RNA of Jaculus jaculus (lesser Egyptian jerboa), 273 nucleotides long. RefSeq lists it as uncharacterized. The record is from RefSeq and is a predicted model, not a curated record. The transcript has 3 exons. NCBI's taxonomy places the organism in Eukaryota, Metazoa, Chordata, Mammalia, Rodentia, Dipodidae.